GUGGGGAAUUUUGGACAAUGGGCUCAAGCCUGAUCCAGCAAUGCCGCGUGCAGGAAGAAGGCCUUCGGGUUGUAAACUGCUUUUGUACGGAACGAAACGGUCCGGGUUAAUACCCUGGGCUAAUGACGGUACCGUAAGAAUAAGCACCGGCUAACUACGUGCCAGCAGCCGCGGUAAUACGUAGGGUGCAAGCGUUAAUCGGAAUUACUGGGCGUAAAGCGUGCGCAGGCGGUUUUGUAAGACAGGCGUGAAAUCCCCGGGCUCAACCUGGGAAUUGCGCUUGUGACUGCAAGGCUGGAGUGCGGCAGAGGGGGAUGGAAUUCCGCGUGUAGCAGUGAAAUGCGUAGAUAUGCGGAGGAACACCGAUGGCGAAGGCAAUCCCCUGGGCCUGCACUGACGCUCAUGCACGAAAGCGUGGGGAGCAAACAGGAUUAGAUACCCUGGUAGUCC
This 450-nucleotide ribosomal RNA is filed under the name uncultured bacterium. RNAcentral's name for it is "partial 16S ribosomal RNA". It matches the Rfam family "Bacterial small subunit ribosomal RNA", at positions 354 to 796 of the family's 1533-position model. The record is from RNAcentral.